CAGUCGCCGCGGUAAUACAGAGGGUGCGAGCGUUAAUCGGAUUUACUGGGCGUAAAGCGUGCGUAGGCGGCUAAUUGAGUCGGAUGUGAAAUCCCCGAGCUUAACUUGGGAAUUGCAUUCGAUACUGGGAAGCUAGAGUAUGGGAGAGGAUGGUAGAAUUCCAGGUGUAGCGGUGAAAUGCGUAGAGAUCUGGAGGAAUACCGAUGGCGAAGGCAGCCAUCUGGCCUAAUACUGACGCUGAGGUACGAAAGCAUGGGGAGCAAACAGGAUUAGAUACCCGCGUAGUCCCUGUCUCUUAUAA
RNAcentral lists this ribosomal RNA (301 nucleotides) under uncultured bacterium. RNAcentral's name for it is "partial 16S ribosomal RNA". It matches the Rfam family "Bacterial small subunit ribosomal RNA", at positions 509 to 809 of the family's 1533-position model. The record is from RNAcentral.